RNAcentral lists this ribosomal RNA (443 nucleotides) under uncultured bacterium. RNAcentral describes it as "partial 16S ribosomal RNA". It matches the Rfam family "Bacterial small subunit ribosomal RNA", at positions 338 to 795 of the family's 1533-position model. The record is from RNAcentral.
CCUACGGGCGGCAGCAGUGGGGAAUAUUGGGCAAUGGAGGCAACUCUGACCCAGCAACGCCGCGUGAAUGAUGAAGGUCUUCGGAUUGUAAAGUUCUUUUCUACGGGAAGAAGAAAGUGACGGUACCUUAGGAAUAAGCCUCGGCUAACUACGUGCCAGCAGCCGCGGUAAUACGUAGGAGGCAAGCGUUCUCCGGAUGGACUGGGGGUAAAGGGUGCGUAGGUGGAUUGACAAGUUAGUAGGGAAAUUCCGGGGCUCAACUUCGGAACUACUGCUAAAACUGUUGGUCUUGAGUGCAGGAGAGGCAAGCGGAAUUCCUAGUGUAGCGGUGGAAUGCGUAGAUAUUAGGAAGAACACCAGUGGCGAAGGCAGAUUACUGGACUGUAACUGACGCUGAGGCACGAAAGCGUGGGGAGCAAACAGGAUUAGAUACCCGAGUAGUC